RNAcentral lists this ribosomal RNA (227 nucleotides) under uncultured bacterium. RNAcentral's name for it is "partial 16S ribosomal RNA". It matches the Rfam family "Bacterial small subunit ribosomal RNA", at positions 103 to 334 of the family's 1533-position model. The record is from RNAcentral.
CGGGUGAGUAAUGUAUGGGAUCUGCCUGAUGGGCGGGGAUAACUACUGGAAACGGUAGCUAAUACCGCAUAAUGUCUGCGGACCAAAGCGGGGGACCUCCGGGCCUCGCGCCAUCAGAUGAACCCAUAUGGGAUUAGCUUGUAGGUAAGGUAACGGCUUACCUAGGCGACGAUCCCUAGCUGGUCUGAGAGGAUGAUCAGCCACACUGGGACUGAGACACGGUCCAG